AGUUUAACCACCUUUCCAUGGGGUAGAAAUGCUAAAUAGGUGCCACAUUCUCUCUGAUUGCCAGUCAGUGAACUUUCUAUCCUUCAGUUCUAACUAUCUCUAAAGGAUAGGGCCAGUUGUCUACACUUGUGUGUAUAUGCAAAUCUUUCUCAUCAAAAUUAGCUGAGUCUCUACCCACUGAUUGUCUCAUUUUGAAUAUGGUAUCUGUGUCUUUUCAGUGGAUACUAGUGAUGUGAUUUUGGCAUAAUGGAGUUGUUUCCCAACAGAAGCAGAAAUAUUUAUGCUAAAGCACUAUAAUUAUUAGGUUUUAUGGCUAGAUCUGGGUAUGGUGUGAGAAUAGAUAAGCUAGAUCGAUAGAUUGACAUGUAUAAAUGUAUGUAUAUAUAGACAUCACAUAACAUGUAUGUAUAUAUAUAUAAACUUUACACAUAAACACAUAUAUAUCUGUAUAUAAUCUACUGAGCAGCUGUACGCUUACUAUUUUUCUAGAGACCCCAGAAGUUCUCCCCAGACAUCAGACCCAGGAUUUCUAGGUCAUACACAGUCCUCUCCUGAUCAGCACUGUGACCUACAAUUUGAGCUUCAAGGAAGAACUACUGUCAUCUAUACUUUCCCCCAAGGAAUAAUGGACUUGUCCAGUUCCUUUCAUCUGAAUCAGCCUUCUUGCAUUUAUCAACCAGGUAAGUUUAUUUUAAAUUUUUCCAGCUCAUUCUAAACUUUGUGGUUUAUAUAUUUAGAAUUCU
Molecule: long non-coding RNA, 743 nt
Filed under: Monodelphis domestica (gray short-tailed opossum)
Lineage: Eukaryota; Metazoa; Chordata; Mammalia; Didelphimorphia; Didelphidae
Description: lncRNA (ENSMODG00000045314.1)
Source: RNAcentral